AGAAUCUGGAACAAAGAACAAACCACUGGAGGAGCUCCUCAGGUCAAGCGACACUGUCGAAGUUUCAGAUACGGUCAGCCCUUAUGAAUGUUUCCAGAAUUUUUGUCCACAUUUCCUGUUUCUAGCAUCUACAAUUUUUUUCCAAUUUCAAAAACAUUUUACACCAUGUAAUGAAGAAAGAUGCUGAUGUGAGAUUUCAUACCAAUGAACUACAAAUACUCUUGGAAAGUCUCCACGUGCACAGAUUCCUAGAGUGGCACAGUAAUGUAGAAGUUGGCAGCGAUCUCAAGCAGUAUGUACGUUAUCCCAGUGACCAUGUGGAGUUCCUCCAGAUGCUCUGAUUUCCUUCCAUCUUCUAAAGACGUAUAGGUCAGAGUCAGUAAGUUAUGGGCCUGCUAUGUUCAUGGCAGAAGCACGGCCACACUUGCAGGCUGCCCCCUGCACACCCUCAGACUGCAUUGGGCAUUGAUGCAAACAAUACAUUUUACUGUGCGUUUCGA
Long non-coding RNA from Mobula hypostoma (lesser devil ray), 500 nucleotides. RefSeq lists it as uncharacterized. Lineage: Eukaryota; Metazoa; Chordata; Chondrichthyes; Myliobatiformes; Myliobatidae. The record is from RefSeq and is a predicted model, not a curated record. The transcript has 3 exons.